UGAGCAUCAUUCCUUAUUGAUAUAUGAAAUAAAAAAGAUAGGUCACCGACAUCGUUUUUGAGAUAGCGGCACAUUUAUGGGUUAAAUUGGAAGGCUUUAUGCUGUCGUCAUGUUGCCAUGGGAACAUUGAUGUUGUCGAAAUCUAGUUUAAAUGUUCCUUAGGUGACCAAUAUUGCCACCAAGUCGAAAAGAAUUCGCGUUCUGCACGAAUAAGCCUGUUUUACGGAAUUAUUGCUUAAACAAGAAUAAAUGUA
This is a non-coding RNA of Paramuricea clavata, 254 nucleotides long. Lineage: Eukaryota; Metazoa; Cnidaria; Anthozoa; Malacalcyonacea; Plexauridae. The record is from the annotation of a GenBank genome assembly.